Orbicella faveolata is the source of this 1481-nucleotide long non-coding RNA. The record is from RefSeq and is a predicted model, not a curated record. NCBI's taxonomy places the organism in Eukaryota, Metazoa, Cnidaria, Anthozoa, Scleractinia, Merulinidae.
UGGUAAUCUAAUUGAUGUACAUUCCUUGUCGGUGUACUCAAGUUUUCACUAUCUAAUAACUUCAGGUCACCCUAAUGGCUUUCUUCGCAUAGAAAAAUAUUCGUGGGAAAACAUUUGGUUCUUUGCGAUGGUAAACUUUACAUUUUCUGUUAUGACGUACAGGUCGUAUUGAUUAAUAUUUACUAUUUGGAUAAAUAUUUUUAUGCGUUUAGUUUUCGCAAAGCUUUGACAACCGGGACUGAGCGAAAAUCGAACACUGUCGAAAAUACGUGGCACUGUGGAAGAAAUGCCUCGAUUUUUCCACAUUUUACCGUAUUAAGCGGUUACUUAGAAAAUUUGACCUCGACUCCAAAUCACGUUCCGUGAUGGACUUAAAAUGAAAUACACUGUCUGCACAACUAAUUUGAUCGAGCGACACCUGAACUCGUUCCCAGAGGUUUGGGUUUUACUCCACAUCGCUAUAAGGCUGGUUUUCACCAGGGCACAAGCUUAAAAGUAAUCAACAUACGCAAAUGCAGAAAUGUGCUGUUAAUUAGCAUCUUUUGUUGAGAAAUUGCCCAAACGAAAGGCCCUAAUUAUCGAAAUAUUUCUACCUCUGUAAAUGCCGGCUUAUUCUUACCAUAUGCUUAUGCGCUAGUGAAAACGACGCCUUGCAUUUCUUGAUCCAAAUUCUUUUUUAAUUAACGGAUAAGAUCAUACUGACUGUGUUCAACAUCUUUCCUAAGUUCUGAUGAACGCAGAUCUAAUCUAUACUGUAGAAUAGGAGACUGGGGGGUUUUCUGGUCAGAUGUGACAUUUGAGAGAGGGGUGGUUGGGUGGGUAUUUGAUUUAUUCAGCUCGAGGGUCAAUAAGUUACAAUUACAUCAGAUUUUAAGGGGCGCGGUUGCUUUAUGGUUAGGAUGCUAGACUACCCCACACCCUUCCCCAUCAGGGACAUUGUGUUGUGUUCUUGGACAAGACACUCUAAUCUCGCAGUGCCUCUCUCCACCCAGGUUGUGCGUCAUCGUGAUUUUAAGACGUGUAAAUAUUGUAAAUAUAGGUCAGGUUCCUAUAAGAUAUCACGAUGAUCGUUGAAACCUCGGAUUCCGCUUUUGCGGGCACAGAUGCUGAAAUAAGGAUCAAAGUCUUUGGAACCAAAGGCAACGUACCGGAAAGGAAAAUUUCAGGCAGUUUUAAAAUAGGAAGCGAAGACACAAUUAUCAUCAGAGGCUACGACAUAGGUCACGUGACAGGAAUGGCAAUUAUUCGUAACAAUGCUGGUUUUGGGCCUAAAUGGAGACUUGAAAAGGUAACUAUGGCAACUGGCGAGUUAGCUAUAUACAAUUAGACUCCCAGCGAAAAACAGUUCCUUUGGGUCAAGAGGAAAAACACCCGAGGCUGUUAGACAGUGCCGCGAGAGAAUGAAGCUUAAGAGUAAGAGAGCUUAUCGCUUAUAUAUAGGCCUUGUUCCCAAGAUGAUCCUUCUCAAGUUAUUUUUAGAC